Molecule: small nucleolar RNA, 75 nt
Organism: Capra hircus (goat)
Lineage: Eukaryota; Metazoa; Chordata; Mammalia; Artiodactyla; Bovidae
Source: Ensembl
UGGAUCGAUGGUGAUCCAUGCCAGCGUAUGGGUCAUCACUUAUGAAUAAUACAUGUCUGGAACUCUGAGGUCCAA